Molecule: ribosomal RNA, 253 nt
Filed under: uncultured bacterium
Lineage: Bacteria
Description: partial 16S ribosomal RNA
Rfam family: Bacterial small subunit ribosomal RNA
Source: RNAcentral
UACGUAGGGUGCAAGCGUUAAUCGGAAUUACUGGGCGUAAAGCGUGCGCAGGUGGUUGUGCAAGACAGGUGUGAAAUCCCCGGGCUUAACCUGGGAACUGCACUUGUGACUGCACGGCUGGAGUACGGCAGAGGGGGAUGGAAUUCCGCGUGUAGCAGUGAAAUGCGUAGAUAUGCGGAGGAACACCGAUGGCGAAGGCAGUCCCCUGGGCCUGUACUGACGCUCAUGCACGAAAGCGUGGGGAGCAAUCAGG